AUUGAACGCUGGCGGCAGGCUUAACACAUGCAAGUCGAGCGGGGAAGGGUAGCUUGCUACCUAACCUAGCGGCGGACGGGUGAGUAAUGCUUAGGAAUCUGCCAUUUAGUGGGGGACAACAUUCCGAAAGGAAUGCUAAUACCGCAUACGUCCUACGGGAGAAAGCAGGGGAUCUUCGGACCUUGCGCUAAAUGAUGAGCCUAAGUCGGAUUAGCUAGUUGGUGGGGUAAAGGCCUACCAAGGCGACGAUCUGUAGCGGGUCUGAGAGGAUGAUCCGCCACACUGGGACUGAGGCGCGGCCCAGACUCCUACGGGAGGCAGCAGUGGGGAAUAUUGGACAAUGGGCGGAAGCCUGAUCCAGCCAUGCCGCGUGUGUGAAGAAGGCCUUAUGGUUGUAAAGCACUUUAAGCGAGGAGGAGGCUACUUAGAUUAAUACUCUAGGAUAGUGGACGUUACUCGCAGAAUAAGCACCGGCUAACUCUGUGCCAGCAGCCGCGGUAA
This 501-nucleotide ribosomal RNA is filed under the name uncultured bacterium. RNAcentral's name for it is "partial 16S ribosomal RNA". It matches the Rfam family "Bacterial small subunit ribosomal RNA", at positions 30 to 523 of the family's 1533-position model. The record is from RNAcentral.